AUCAGCAGUGGCUCCAUCGGCAGAGUAACCUGUGGAUGUUAAAACUCCAUGUUAUCAUUUGCAAUGCGAUAAUGCGUGGCAGAUUCAGGCUCACAGGGUGUGGGGGAACCGGUGAAAUUAACCUAACCUGAGUGCGUGAAUGUGUCCCAGAUGCUGGGUUUUCUUCCGUCCUCUGCAACCGCACCUUCAAUCUGGAACCAGCCAAAUAUUCAGACCGGCCGCGUCACGGGUGACAGAAAAUGUCGUCAAGAAAAAGGCGAAGGAGCAGGUGAAGGAAAAGGGAGGAAAACAACACCAGGAAAGGGGAAAACGCACACGGUGUCAUGUUGCUCUUGACUGAGAUGAAUGUGUUGGUACCUGCUGGAUUCGAGGGUCGCCUCGAUGUAGUCCUGCAGGUACUGCGACCUGAACUCGUCGUCGGGGGCGUUCCCAGCAGAAGGAUCCGCAAUGCUAGCAGCUCCUGGUAAAUAUGAACAUUCAAGACAUGAUAUUUCAGGUUGACGAUUCCUUGGGAUCAUGAUGUUUUAUGGUCGCUGAAAGUUCUGCUUGAGUAGAAUUUACCGUUCUCAUGGAUCAUGACUACAGGGUUCUUGUAUUUGAGCUGGAGAUGCUCCAGCAUUUUCUUCAGAGACCACGGUGUCGACGACAUAAAAUCCAUUUUCAACCCAAACAGGAGCUGUUACGUUUAAUUUUAGCCACACAGACAUACAAAUGAUUUAGUUUAUUGGGAACAAAGUUCAUUUCCCAACUAAAUUGAUUAGAGAUUAAAUUAGUUGUAUCAUCAAAUACCUGGUUGUUCAAGUUCAAGAAUGGCACUGCAAGAAUACAUUUGCAGAAGAGUUAGGUUAAUCCAUUUCUCUCAUUGCAUUGUGGCACAUAGUAUAACA
Triticum aestivum (bread wheat) is the source of this 887-nucleotide long non-coding RNA. RefSeq lists it as uncharacterized. The record is from RefSeq and is a predicted model, not a curated record. NCBI's taxonomy places the organism in Eukaryota, Viridiplantae, Streptophyta, Magnoliopsida, Poales, Poaceae. The transcript is spliced from 3 exons.